RNAcentral lists this ribosomal RNA (418 nucleotides) under uncultured Methanothermobacter sp. RNAcentral's name for it is "bacterial SSU rRNA". It matches the Rfam family "Archaeal small subunit ribosomal RNA", at positions 330 to 747 of the family's 1478-position model. The record is from RNAcentral. Lineage: Archaea; Methanobacteriati; Methanobacteriota; Methanobacteria; Methanobacteriales; Methanobacteriaceae.
GUGCACCAGGCGAGAAACCUCCGCAAUGCACGCAAGUGCGACGGGGGAACCCCAAGUGCCACUCUUAACGGGGUGGCUUUUCAGAAGUGUAAAAAGCUUCUGGAAUAAGGGCUGGGCAAGACCGGUGCCAGCCGCCGCGGUAACACCGGCAGCUCAAGUGGUAGCCGCUUUUAUUGGGCCUAAAGCGUCCGUAGCCGGUCUGAUAAGUCUCUGGUGAAAUCCCGCAGCUUAACUGUGGGAAUUGCUGGAGAUACUAUCAUGACUCGAGGUCGGGAGAGGCUGGAGGUACUCCCAGGGUAGGGGUGAAAUCCUGUAAUCCUGGGAGGACCACCUGUGGCGAAGGCGUCCAGCUGGAACGAACCUGACGGUGAGGGACGAAAGCCAGGGGCGCGAACCGGAUUAGAUACCCCCGUAGUCC